UACAGAGACUGCAAGCGUUAUCCGGAUUCACUGGGUUUAAAGGGUGCGUAGGCGGGCAGGUAAGUCAGUGGUGAAAUCCCCGAGCUUAACUUGGGAACUGCCGUUGAUACUAUCUGUCUUGAAUACUAUGGAGGUAAGCGGAAUAUGUCAUGUAGCGGUGAAAUGCUUAGAUAUGACAUAGAACACCAAUUGCGAAGGCAGCUUGCUACACAGUUAUUGACGCUGAGGCACGAAAGCGUGGGGAGCAAACAGG
Molecule: ribosomal RNA, 253 nt
Filed under: uncultured bacterium
Lineage: Bacteria
Description: partial 16S ribosomal RNA
Rfam family: Bacterial small subunit ribosomal RNA
Source: RNAcentral